Molecule: ribosomal RNA, 764 nt
Filed under: uncultured Leotiomycetes
Lineage: Eukaryota; Fungi; Ascomycota; Leotiomycetes
Description: eukaryotic LSU rRNA
Rfam family: 5.8S ribosomal RNA (bases 427-580)
Source: RNAcentral
AAGUCGUAACAAGGUUUCUACCAGAGUGCCACCAUCUGAAGCCUUGGACUCCAGUCUAUUGUUAUAGGCAACACCUUUACUAUGCUUAGAUACCUCGAGUGGUAAUAAGCAGCUGCUAUUGCAGUCCGCAGAUCAGACAAAGGUGGUCCUAGAGGGGCAGCUAGCUAAUCAGCUGUCACCAUUGGAUUUAGAUAUGACCGGCCUUCUCCUGUAAAGAGUUAGAGUUAGUGUUCCGUAGGUGAACCUGCGGAAGGAUCAUUAUAGAGACUGUGCUCAUUUUAGGGUACAUCUCCCACCCUUUGUUUACAAUACCUCUGUUGCUUUGGUGGGCCUGUCCAAUGACUACUGGCUUUAUCGCUGGUCCGUGCUCGCCAGAGGACCUCAAACAUUCUUAAUUUUGUCGUCCGAGUACUAUAUAAUAGUUAAAACUUUCAACAACGGAUCUCUUGGUUCUGGCAUCGAUGAAGAACGCAGCGAAAUGCGAUAAGUAAUGUGAAUUGCAGAAUUCAGUGAAUCAUCGAAUCUUUGAACGCACAUUGCACCCUCUGGUAUUCCGGGGGGUAUGCCUGUUCGAGCGUCAUUGCAACCCUCAAGCACUGCUUGGUAUUGGAUGCUACCACUGUGGUGCGUCUUAAAGGUAUUAGCAGUAGCAUUUGGCUUCUAGCAUAGUAAUUUCUUGCUUUGGAGUCUAGAUGUCUAGCUGCCAGAACCCCUAAAUCAUUAAGGUUGACCUCGGAUCAGGUAGGGAUACCCGCUGAACUUAA